This is a non-coding RNA of Ornithorhynchus anatinus (platypus), 74 nucleotides long. The record is from the annotation of a RefSeq genome assembly. NCBI's taxonomy places the organism in Eukaryota, Metazoa, Chordata, Mammalia, Monotremata, Ornithorhynchidae.
GCUCCAGUGGCGCAGUCGGUUAGCGCGCGGUACUUAUAGUGCCGAGGCUGUGAGUUCGAUCCUCACCCGGAGCA